Molecule: long non-coding RNA, 690 nt
Organism: Populus trichocarpa (black cottonwood)
Lineage: Eukaryota; Viridiplantae; Streptophyta; Magnoliopsida; Malpighiales; Salicaceae
Exons: 2
Source: RefSeq, a predicted model, not a curated record
CCAAAGUCAAAUAUUUUGCUGACUGAGUCACUCCAUGAGUCCUUGUCCCUUAGUUCCCCGGCAAUCAACCCACAGUCCCCACCCCCCAAUCUCCCCUUUCCUCUUUGCUCAAAUCUUAAAUUCUCAACCCCAUUGCCUUGCACGCAUUUCAAAGCUAUCGCCGCUGCUAAAAACUGAGAGAUCGUGAGAAAGAGAUGGAGUCAAAGAGGAGAGCAAUAACUCCCAUCGUUUGAGAUUCAGACACAUUGUCUUAGCCUUCUCGCUUCAGAUCAGCUGAAAAGUGUGCUUGUAAAAUAACUGUAGGAAAGAUGCGAGAUUGCCAAAUAUUGGUCCUGUAUGAGAGAGGAAAACUUGGAAAAAGGUCAUGGAGCCCCUGUGAGCCUUCAUAACCGCCCUCUUGACAAGUCGCUUGCAUAGUGCUGGGUUACUACCAUCUCUACCCCUUUCACUUCUCCUCUUUAAUUAUAGUCUAAAGAAUUUGGUCAUGAUUGGUUUUUUCACUUGAUUAUUAUAUCUGAAUUUCACAUGACUUUGGUCUCCGAGAAGAUUUGGUAAGAAUUAAUGAUAUAAUUGUAUUUUUAAGUUAUUUAAAUUAUGUAUAAAUUUUUAUUUGAAUUAUGUAUUUUAAGAUGUUCGGAUAUUUGUAUUAUUUAUUUCAUUUUUAUUUUAAUUGUGUUAUAUUAUUAUUUA